This 507-nucleotide ribosomal RNA is filed under the name uncultured bacterium. Its description in RNAcentral is "partial 16S ribosomal RNA". It matches the Rfam family "Bacterial small subunit ribosomal RNA", at positions 28 to 507 of the family's 1533-position model. The record is from RNAcentral.
GACGAACGCUGGCGGCGUGCCUAAUACAUGCAAGUCGAACGCAUUUUCUUUCACCGUAGCUUGCUACACCGAAAGAAACUGAGUGGCGAACGGGUGAGUAACACGUGGGUAACCUGCCCAUCAGCGGGGGAUAACACUUGGAAACAGGUGCUAAUACCGCAUAAUUCCAUUUACUGCAUGGUAGAUGGAUGAAAGGCGCUUUUGCGUCACUGAUGGAUGGACCCGCGGUGCAUUAGCUAGUUGGUGGGGUAACGGCCUACCAAGGCUGCGAUGCAUAGCCGACCUGAGAGGGUGAUCGGCCACACUGGGACUGAGACACGGCCCAGACUCCUACGGGAGGCAGCAGUAGGGAAUCUUCGGCAAUGGACGCAAGUCUGACCGAGCAACGCCGCGUGAGUGAAGAAGGUUUUCGGAUCGUAAAACUCGGUUGUUAGAAAAGAACAAGGAUGAGAGUGGAAAGUUCAUCCCUUGACGGUAUCUAACCAGAAAGCCACGGCUAACUACGUG